GUCCAGGGUAGCCUAGUGGACAUGGCAUCUGCCCGGUAAGCGGAACAGUGUGGGUUCGAUUUCCAUCCCUGGGCA
RNAcentral lists this transfer RNA (75 nucleotides) under Cordylochernes scorpioides. Its description in RNAcentral is "tRNA-Thr". It matches the Rfam family "tRNA". Rfam says of the family: Transfer RNA (tRNA) molecules are approximately 80 nucleotides in length. Their secondary structure includes four short double-helical elements and three loops (D, anti-codon, and T loops). Lineage: Eukaryota; Metazoa; Arthropoda; Arachnida; Pseudoscorpiones; Chernetidae. The record is from RNAcentral.